GAAAGGUUGAGGGAACUGGGCUUGUUUAGUUUGGAGAAGAGGAGGCCUUGGUCAGACCUACUUGUGGCCCUAUAUUACUUCAACGGAGUGUAUAAACAAGAGGGAGAACAAUUUUUCUGAAGGUGAACAGUGAUAAGACACGGGGGAAUGUUUUUAAACUGAGAAGGGAUGUGUAGGUUGGAUAUUAGGAGGAAGUUGUUGACACUCAGGGUGGUGACGCACUGAACAGGUUGCCCAAGGAGGCUGUGGAUGCCCCAUCCCUGGAGGCAUUCAAGGCCAGGCUGGAUGUGGCUCUGCGCAGCCUGGUCUGCUGGAUGGCGAUCCUGCACAUAGCAGGGGGCUGGAAUCAGAUGAUCAUUGUGGUCCUUUUCAACCCAGACCAUUCUAUGGUUCUGUCAUACUGAUUAACUGGGAAGAACCCGUGGUGCUGUCAGCAACCCCUGAUGGAGAUCAGGAUGAUCAGAAGAGUCUACUGAAGGAACUGAUUCAGCUGAUCCAAGGUGAUGAACCCUGCUCCUCACCUG
This 524-nucleotide long non-coding RNA is filed under the name Gallus gallus (chicken). RNAcentral describes it as "lncRNA (ENSGALG00010030051.1)". Lineage: Eukaryota; Metazoa; Chordata; Aves; Galliformes; Phasianidae. The record is from RNAcentral.